This 1014-nucleotide long non-coding RNA is filed under the name Junco hyemalis (dark-eyed junco). Its description in RNAcentral is "lncRNA (ENSJHYG00000017464.1)". Lineage: Eukaryota; Metazoa; Chordata; Aves; Passeriformes; Passerellidae. The record is from RNAcentral.
GGCUGCACCUGUCUCGGCGCGCCGGGAGCGCGGUGUCCGCCCCGCUGAUGGGGCUGCGGGCGGCACCUUCCCCCGAGGAGGAGGAGAAGGAGGAGGAGAAGGAGGCGAGCCGGUGGCGGAGGUUUUCUGUGGCUGUUCCACGUCCUCCUGCUGCAUCCAACGUGGAUCCGAGUGCCGUGGCUACAAAGGCUUGUCACUGUCUCAUGCUGGGUCCCUCACAUCCAAGAGCUACUUGGCAGUUUCCAAGGCAACCACCUGUGGAAUAAUUAAAAAGGAUGAAGUGUUAGCGUGCCAGAUAUAAGGAAUUCUUGCCUGGAGAGAGCGUUUCACUUUCUUCACGUCUUGAAGAAUCCAAACGUGCUUCUGCCAGCAAAGUUAAGGUAGUACAAUUAAAAAGUAAUGGAUUUAUUUUUCUGGAAGUUUUGAGGUGGAGCAACAAGCCUGAUAUAUGGCUGUAUGAUGUACAGAAAUGACCAUGGUUCCUUCUGGGUUAAUAUUUUGGGUAGGUUUAAAUGGAAAAUGCACGAGAAAGGUGGUGAUGGGAAGGCAGUGAUCAGCAUUUUGUAUUAGUAAAACAGUUGCAUGGAGUGGUUUGCACUUCAUGCCGUCUUCCCUCGGGUGAUUUUAAGCUGGGAAGGACUAAAAUGGAGCAUACAUUAGUUGGAGCAUAAAUAUAGGAAGUGCAGCCUUCAUGCCAAGUACACUGAGAUUUCUUUGGCAUUCAGUGCAGUGAUAGAUAUAAAAGGAGUAUAGGAGUGGGCUCACUGCAAAAUGACAGUCGGAAUCAAGGCUUGGUCUUCAUCCCAGAGCUUAAAGGGUGGGCAGUGCCUAAGUCCAUGCUGAACCAAACUGAUAAUCAGGUUUAGCUGCUUCAGUGAAGCAGCAGCUAAAACCAUUUUGAAGUCACAUAUUCCCAGAUUCAGAGCUGAAAUUGCACAGUGGGGAAAAAACAAAUAUUAAGCAAAAGAAGCCUGUCAGAGUAAUAAAAAAUGGCAAAUUUGUUUCUGAAAGUUU